CCUGGGAGGCAUCAACAUGGGAAUCUCGAGUAGGAUCAGAGAGGUUAUUUUACCUCUGGAUUUGACACUGGUGUGACCGCUGCUGGAAUCCUGUGCCCAGUUCUGGUGCCCACAGUUCAAGAACGAUGUCGAUAAAUUGGAGAGGGUUCCCAGAAGAGCCCUGAG
Chelonia mydas (Green sea turtle) is the source of this 165-nucleotide long non-coding RNA. RefSeq lists it as uncharacterized. The transcript has 3 exons. The record is from RefSeq and is a predicted model, not a curated record. Lineage: Eukaryota; Metazoa; Chordata; Testudines; Cheloniidae.